Mus musculus (house mouse) is the source of this 2548-nucleotide long non-coding RNA. RefSeq annotates it as predicted gene, 41067. The record is from RefSeq and is a predicted model, not a curated record. Lineage: Eukaryota; Metazoa; Chordata; Mammalia; Rodentia; Muridae. The transcript is spliced from 3 exons.
ACCAAUAUUGGUACAUCUCUGUUAAUACUGGUUAAUAAACGUAUUUAUUGGCUCUCUGUGUGCAUGCACACUUGUGCCAAUAGGAGCACAUGUGACCCUGUGAGCAUGUGGAAAUCGAAGCAUUAUUCUCAGGAGUUGUUUUUCUCCUUUCCUUGUAGGAUUCAGGAUAAAACUCAGGCGGUUGAAAUUGGUGGCAGGUACAUUUACCUGCUUGCUAAGCGAUUUCCCCAGCCAAGACCAUUCUUUAUACUGUAGAGUUUCAUGAUGUUAACAAAACACACAGUGGCAUUGUGUAGAGUGGUUCCACUGGCCUGAAGAAUCUAUGAUUCAUGAGCUAUCAUCUCCACCCUGAAUCCUGGCAACCACUGAGCUUUAUUUUCUUGUCAUUAUAGUUUGCCUUUUCUAUGAUGUCACAGAGCCGAAGUAGAACUAUGUAGUCUUCUUAAAUGGGCUUCUUUCACUGGGCAAUACGCGUCUACGAAUCUUCCGUCUGGGGAUGUAGCUUGCUGAAGGAGCCCUUGCCUAGUGUGUUUGCAGCUCUGGGUUUGAUUCCCAUCUCUGCAAAAGUAAAUACAUAACUCUUCUACGUCUGCAUAUGCCUCUGUAGUUUGUUUCAUUUUCAGGUUGAAUUUUAUUUCAUUGUUUGCACAUAUAGAUGUCAGUUUAGCCAUUUAACUAUCAAGAGAGAUGUUAGUUACAUGUAAUUUUUGCCUCUCUUAGAGUUACCAUUGACUUACACGUGCAGGGUUUUCUAUGGAGAUGGAUUUUUAUCUCUUUUAGGUAAACAGGGAGAGAAUGUAGCCCAAUGUAAGACUGUCUGCCUUGCAUGUAUAGAAGGCCCUGGGUUUGAUCCCAGGCACCACUUAGGCUCACUCCUAGGUAUUUACCUAGGGGCAUAAUUGCUGGAUUGUGUGGUAAGAGUAUAUUUAGCCUUGAAGGGUGUGGUGGUUUGAAUGAGAAUGGUCCCCAUAGUCUCGUAUAUUUGAAUUUUUAGUUCUAGUUGUUAGACUGUUUGUUAAAAACUAGGAGCAGAGGCCUUACAGGAGUAUGUGUCACUGGGGUGGAUCUUGAGGUUUCAAAAGUUCACACUAGGCCUGGUCCUCCCCUCCUCAUCCUCAGAUCAGGAUGUAAGCUCUUGGCUACUGCUCAGGCUACAACCAUGCCCCCACCACAUGCCCCCCACAAUCCCCCUCACCGUGAUGUCAUAGACUUUCCUUUAAAAGUUGCCUUGGUGUUGCUGUUCUGUCACAGCAACAGAACAUGAGUGAAGAUGAAGGGAAUUGCUAAAUGCUGACUAAAGUGACUGUACAAUUUGACUUUCGUUUUUGUAGCUCAAUUGGGAGAAUAUUUGCCCAGCACACGUGAAGUCAUGGAUUCAAUCCCUAGCUCUGCAUGCAACAGCUUUGGUCCUUGGAAAGGUUCGAGGUCCCAAAGCAACGUUAUUUAUGCCGGCUGCAACCCUUGCCACGAAGCCUUGAGGCAUCCCAAUUACUAAUUCAACGGCGGGGAGCUGAAGCAAUCCGGUGAUUUUCCAUCAAUAAGAUGGUUUCCAUCAGCAAAACCCCAUGGGGAAUGAUAGGGCUACUCGGUGACUCGAGCGCAGAUAUCAUCAUAAAUCUGAUUUUUUUUUCUUUCUUUCUGCUUUUUGCAAAGGAAACCCCACCUGCUGGUGUGUGGGUUAUUGACACAGCAGCCCUUUUGGUUCUAGUGCCAAUUCUUCCUGAAUUAGAAGGGAAAUCCAAGGGGAGGCCAUAAGUGCGAGGAAACAGAGGGCCUGCAAGAAGUGGUUCACUUUAACUCAUUGUGAUCUGUGCAGUUCAAGUCCUGGGGCAUCACAAACCUACAGCAAAUAUUUGCUGGGCACACUAAAGUCUGCCCACAAGACAAUUUAUCAGGAAACAAUCCCUGAGGUGGAGAACCAAUGCCCACAUUUAUUUAUUUAUUUAUUUAUUUGUUUGUUUGUUUGUUUGUUUGUUUGGCAUGGGAAUGGUCUACAUUUCUGAGAAAAACUAAGCCGUGAGAACUUCUACGAAGUGAGCUGAUACCGUGGGGAUGAGAACACACGAGCCUGAGACUCUAACGCUCCCGACGGGCUCUGGCCUGGAGUCGGUCCCACGUGCUGACACUUCUUACAAACCAAUGGAGAAACUGCUCCCUUAGGAGUGAGUAUCCCUAAGAAGAAUUUUCAGUGUCGGUGGUGUGUAUGAAUAGCACCGUAGUGACCACACAUUCUGUGGAAAUCCCCAGUGAAAGCAUCUUAUGCAUUUGCCUUCCGAGCCUUGAAACUUUUCCCCCAGUCAUUUGGCCUUUUAAAGCUUCCUGAGCCUCCCCAUUCUGUUUCCUGCGCUCUGAAAUUUUUUACUGGUGAUUAGAAAGCGUGAAGCUAGAUCCUGCCAACACCCCAGGAGAAAAUCGAAGGUGAUCUGAGAACCAUCCAGACCAUGCUUAGUCUUUUUCAGCCCCAGCCUGCCUUCCAGGUGUACCCGGUUCAAGUAGGCCGCGGGGCUGGCAUACAACAAUGACCAUGCUACCUAGGACUCUUGUAACU